Long non-coding RNA from Xenia sp. Carnegie-2017, 610 nucleotides. RefSeq lists it as uncharacterized. The transcript has 2 exons. NCBI's taxonomy places the organism in Eukaryota, Metazoa, Cnidaria, Anthozoa, Malacalcyonacea, Xeniidae. The record is from RefSeq and is a predicted model, not a curated record.
GGUCCAGGAGCAAACUUGGUCGAGCUUGCACCAAAGUAUUCAAGUGUAUUAAUGGGUAUUUCUAACUUUGCCUGUAAUAUCACUGGUUUUAUUUCACCAGAAGUGGUUGGAAGUCUUACAGAGCACGGGAAUAUUCAUCGUCAAUGGUCAAUUGUAUUCUAUAUCACGGCUGCCAUCGAGGUUUUUGGAAUGCUCUUGUAUCUUGCAUUUGGUUCGUCAGAAAAACAACCAUGGGCUGAUAAUUGAGUCGUUCAUUCACUUUCUGAAGUCUCUGUGGCCUCCCAGAGCAUUUUUAUGUUUUAUAAUUCAUCGUUCUUUUAUUUUUAAUCACUAUAACAUUCAAUAUUUAAAAAUAUUUAUUAAAUUUUUGUUCCAGUACAGUUGUUUUUCUUUGCACGCAUUGUCCCACACCACGUGCACCGCAGUGCAGCAGCAGUCCAGUAUCCACUGACUUGGAUAUGAUGUUUUAGUCACGUGAUCUAAUUCGGUAACUUUGUGACAUUCAUUUAUACUGAUCAUACACUUCUUCUUGUAGUCAUUUCACUCAUUUGCAAUCUUCAAAACAUUUAAAAUUUGUAAAUAGAGACAGUAAUAAAAUAUCAAUGAAUGA